CACGCCGUAAACGAUGAAUGCUAGGUGUGGGAGGUAUCGACCCCUUCCGUGCCGGAGUAAACACAAUAAGCAUUCCGCCUGGGGAGUACGGCCGCAAGGCUAAAACUCAAAGGAAUUGACGGGGGCCCGCACAAGCAGCGGAGCAUGUGGUUUAAUUCGAAGCAACGCGAAGAACCUUACCAGGUCUUGACAUCCAAUUAAGCUCAUGGAAACAUGAAGUCUCUACGGAGGAAUUGAGACAGGUGG
Molecule: ribosomal RNA, 246 nt
Filed under: uncultured Bacillota bacterium
Lineage: Bacteria; Bacillati; Bacillota
Description: uncultured Firmicutes bacterium partial 16S ribosomal RNA
Rfam family: Bacterial small subunit ribosomal RNA
Source: RNAcentral